AUGGAGGGAGCUCCCGUGACAGCAGCCACGGGGGUCUUGGGGCCCGUCGUCGUGAAGCUGGGUGCUCUGCUGGGCAGCGAGUACAAGCUUCAGCGCCAGACUCUGAAGGACAUAAAGUUCAUCAAAUCCAAGCUCAAGUUUGUGCAUUCUAUCCUUUGGGCGAUAUGGGGGAAGGAGACUCUUGAUGCGCAAUCCAAGGAGUUGAAGAAGGAAGCGCUGGAUCUCGCCGAUGAUAUGCAAGACGCCAUCGACGACUUCAUCCUCACCAUGGAGCCAAGCCACAGAAACAAGCACCUGAAGAUACAGAUCAAGAUCCAAGCAAGCCCCUUCCAAGAUUUCAAGACAAGAGUAGAUGAUGUGUCAGCCCGGUGCCGCAGCAAGUGGAAGAUCAAGCCUGCUGAACGCGUUUGUAGCUUAUAUUCAACAAAAAGGGCAGAAUCCAGCACCCCCAGCAAACUGCCUCCUCAUCGAGCUCCAUUUGUCUGCAAGAAUGCGUCAGAGAUCAUUGGUAUGGGCAGAUGGAGAGAGGACCUCAUAACAUACCUGGUAGGAGAAGGGAGCACAAUGGCUCAGCCACAGUUCAAAAUGGCAUCCAUUGUUGGGAUGGGCGGUGUGGGCAAAACAACCCUUGCCAGCCUUGUGUAUGAGGAGAUUGGAAAUAAGUUCCAGUCCCGGGCUUUUGUGUCCGUCACUCCAACCGCCAACAUGAAGGAGGUUCUCACAAGUAUUCUCCACCAAGUAGGAGCUGAACUACCUGCUGGCACCAAAGCAAGGACGGAGGAAGAUAUCAUCCACACCAUAUCGAACUUCCUAGAGGACAAAAGGUACCUAGUAGUAAUUGAUGACAUAUGGCAUCAUGGAGAAUGGGAGAUCAUCAGCAAGUCUGUUCCACAAAAUAAUCUGGGCAGUAGAAUUGUCAUGACAACCCGUAUUGAUUCUGUAUCAGAUGAUAUCGAUUAUAACAAGCUCUGCAUCAGAAUGAAUCCUGGAUGGAGUUUUGAAGAGGAAAGAUGGUUCUACGGACAUCAUGUGCAAGAUUUCACCGCUUGGAUGAAGCCUGACAUGGUUGGAGAAGGUUUUGACCGUGACCAUCCUAUUGUGCGCAUGUGUGGUGGUGUGCCGUUAGCACUACUUUGCAUGUUUUCGGCAAUGAGAAUGGUCCGAGAGCAACAAGAACUAGGGGUACAUGUAAAGGCAUGCGUUGUGCAAGAUAUGAUUGAGAAGCAAGUUAAGCAAAGUGGAAUUCAGAACACUCCAGGGUUUGAACCGUUGGUAGAGAGUUUCCAGCUUGGCUACACCAAUCUUCCUCACCAUAUGUUGAAGACCUGCUUGUUGUACUGCAGUGUAUACCCUGAGAAUUACCCUUUUUGCAUGAAUGAUUUGGUCAUGAGAUGGGUCGCUGAAGGAUUUACUUAUAAAGUUGAUGUAGCAAAAGAUUACCUCAAAGAGCUUGGCAACAGGGGAUUUAUGCUGCAUAUGAAGGAUUCAUCUGGCAUGCCCUACUACCAAAUGAAUCCGAUGAUGCAAAAUUUCCUUAGAUGGAAAGCGCGUGAAGAUAAUUUCAUUACUUGUAGUUCCGACAUCGCAUUGGCAUAUGCAUGUCGAAUCCAUCGGCUAUGUAUCGAUGGUUAUCAAGUUGAUGACGGUGAGGUGCAGGUGGUGGAUACCUUGUUCGAACUGGAUUGGUCCCAGAUUCGAUCUCUUGUUGUUUUUGAAGGUGCUAAGAGAUAUGUCCCUUUUGAGAAGUUGGAACGUGUGCGGGUGUUGGAUCUUCAUUAUCAUCAUCAUCAUUAUCUUGAAUUCCUAAAGUCUUAUUGGAAUCCUUUUGGGGACUUUGGAUUCGAGGCCCUUGCAAAUCAGCAUGUGAAGGAUAUAUGUGGACUGCUCCGUGUGAGGCACCUAUUCGGCCUAGAAGGGAUAGGAAUCAGUGAGAUACCGCCGGAAAUAGCAAGGCUACAGCAUCUGGAGACUUUGCAGGUAAGAUUCACAUCGAUCACAGAGUUACCCAGUGAGAUUAGGGACCUACAACAAUUGAAGACUCUGGUCGUGAGUCAGAACCAAAAGCUGGCAGAGCUGCCCAGGGAGAUAGGGGAUCUGCAACAAUUAGAGACUCUGGACCUGAUGAGCUGUACCAGGCUGACGGGGCUGCCACGUGAGAUCGGGAACCUCCAGAAUUUGGAGAAUCUGAACCUGCAUUGGACCAUGCUCAAAGAGCUGCCUCUGGAGAUUGGGAAGUUGCAGCAUUUGAAAACUCUGGAUAUUGGUUCGAAUAGCAUCACAAGGCUAGGCAAUGAAAUUGAGGACCUGCAUCAUUUAGAGACCCUGGACCUGAGUUACAACCGGGGGCUCACACAGCUGCCUCGUGAGAUGUGGAAACUGCAGAAUUUGAAGCGGCUGCUCUUGAAUGGUACAGGGGUGGUGAAGAUACCAAGGGAAAUCGGAGGGCUAAAGAAGCUGGAGAUUUUGAAAUUAGACGACACCAUCGGUGCACUGCCUUGGGAAGCUAGUCAGCUCUCGAAAUUGGAGGGGGUGCCCGAGUGCGUCCGCCAAGCCUGGAAGAAGAGUGAACUUAUGUCUUGUGAGCUAGCCGGGGAGAUCUUGUCCAUUCGACUGGUCAAUCGGGCCAUUGAUAGGGGGGGCCUAAUCGUUGGGACAAAACACAUGCAGAUUCCACAGUGGAUCAAGGAACACUUCAACGACCUUGGCUCCUUGGAUAUCAGGAUCUGCAAACUGGAGGAGCGGGAUGUCAAGAUUCUGCAGGAGAUGCUCAACCUGGAAAACCUCACGCUAAGGUUCGACGCCAUCCCAAGAAAGCCCAUAGCCAUCAGCGGUGAAGGGUUCCCAAGGCUCAACAGACUCGUUGUUGAUUGCCGGCUUCCACGGGUUGUCACCUUCCAGGAAGGAGCGAUGCCGAAGCUGGGAAUCCUCCGCUUCGAGUUCCAGUUCUACGGUGGACCACCUCCAGCUGCAAAUAAAGGAGACCCUCGGCUGGGUGUCAAGCACCUCCGGUGCCUCUUCUUGGUCGAAUUUAGAUGCAGCGAGGAAUGGUAUGGAGGAGCAGCAGAGAGCAGCCCGUGCAUGAGCGCCAUGAUUGACGUCGUGAGGAAAGAAGCCCGGGAGCAUCCCAAAAAGAUCUACUUUCGUGUCACUGGCCGCAAGGAAUAG
RNAcentral lists this ribosomal RNA (3165 nucleotides) under Triticum aestivum (bread wheat). RNAcentral describes it as "partial small subunit ribosomal RNA". Lineage: Eukaryota; Viridiplantae; Streptophyta; Magnoliopsida; Poales; Poaceae. The record is from RNAcentral.